GCUCCCUGCGCCGCAGCCACAGGCUCACCUGCCACGGCCACUCCCCGCGGGCCGCCGCGCUGCCCCCGACAAUCCUGGUGAGCGCCGCUGGUGCCAGGCCGCAGUCUGCGGGGGAGCCAGGCGCAUGGGCAGGUAACAGUGGAAUGCCUGUGUUCCCUGUGGCUUCAGCUUCAGGCCACACCACCCCUGCUGGGGGCCAGGCGGGAGGCCACACCUCAGGCCUCCACAACUUCCAUCCACCCAAGGCCUUGGCAGACACCAGGGCCCUCCCCAGAGCCCCACCCCGCCUUGGUGCUCUCUGCCUGGGUCCCUGAUUGCCCCAUCCCCUUCCCUCACAUUCCCUGCAGGCUGAGCCCUCCCAGGCCGGGGAGCGCAGAGGCCUCCCUCAGAACUCAGCUGUGGAAGAAUGUGUGGGUGGUUUCCAGGGACCCCAUUACCACCCAUGGAGGGGGACCCGUACCCACCUGAUGUCUCCAGAGGGCCGUUUUCCUCCUCAGGGGCUAGCCCCCUCCCCACCCUCUACCACCGCCCAGCUGGCUUCCCUGGGUGCUCCCCAAAGCCCCAUCCGAAGCAGACGUGAAGGCCAGCAAGGAAGAGAAGUUCCACCUCCCCGCCAGCCCUGGCGCCGUCCGACCCUGAGACCAGAUGGCCUUGGCAAAUCCGCCGGCAGCCGCAGCCCCUGUCCUUGGGAAUGCCAGCGGUCUCCACACACAGCCCGCCUCCAUUUCAAGGGGGCCUUCUCUACCUCUCUUGCACCCAAAGUUAAGAGCUCCCAGGCCAUAGCUACUAAAAAAGUAAAAAGCAGCUCAGACUGAGACAGCGAGAGCCGUCAGGCUGCGGGGACAGACCCGGAUGAGGGCAGCUGUCAGUUAACCAGAAACACUCGCCCAUGGACACGGCACGACUGAGCCGCCAAAGCCCCCUGCCUGCCUUUUUUUCUUUCCUGACAUAGUCUCUCGCUCUCGUGGCCCAGGCUGGAGUGCAGUGGCACCAUCUCGGCUCACUGCAACCUCUGCCUCCUGGGUUCAAGCAAUUCUGCCCCAGCCUCUCAAGUAGCGGGGACCACAGGUACACCCCACCACGCCCAGCUAAUUUUUGUAGAGACGGGGUUUCACCACGUUGGCCAGGCUGGUCUCAAACUCCUGACCUCAGGUGGUCCACCGGCCUCAGCCUUCCAAAGUGCUGGGACGACAGGCGUGAGCCACCACGCCCAGGGGACGUUAUAUCUUGUUAGGCAGCCCGAGCUGAUGAUCAUGGUACCCUCCACUCCAGGGGUCCCUCCCUCUCUCACAGUACCUGGUAGCUGGGAGCGAGUGGUGGCCUCUGGGGUUUCUGGAAGUGGCGUCUGUCCCCCAGAGGUGGUUAUCAUGGCAGAUAAGGUUGAGUUGGCAGAUUGGCCGGUCACCCUGCUGGUGGCCACUGGGGUGGGUUGGCUGGGGGUGGCCCCCAGGACUGUGAGGCCAGCCGUCAUUCUGGGAGGAUGGCUGGUGGUGGCCAGCGUCCUUGUGGUCGAGGGCGGAGACACAGGAAGGGGCUGGGAGGCCAUAGUCUCCAGAAUCCAGCCCUUCAGCCUCGUGAUGCGCGUGUACACACCAGGCUUCUGAACUUGGGCACAGCCAAUCCCCCAGCUCACGAUUCCUGCCAGAUAAAACACGCCGGGGGUCUCCUCGCAGGCCAGGGGGCCCCCAGAGUCGCCCUGGAAAGGAGGGAAAGAGCGCUGGUUGAUCCUCCAAGGACCCUCUCUUCCCGGCACUGCCAGACCCUCCUGUGUCCCUACAGUUGGUGGGGCUCAUCGGGGGACCAGAGGGCACAGCAUCGGUCUGGAGACCUGGCCGCAGCCCCACGCCUGGCUGUGUGACCUGGAGUGAGUCCCUUCUGAGUUUCCAUCAUUCUUUUGUUUUGGGCGAUAAAACAAGGCAGAAAAAAACUCCUAAAAAAAAAAUAGUAAAAGCCACGAAUAGUCCCACCACCUAGAAGUAGCCCCUGAUCACUAGCUGCCAGGCUGGUUUUUUUUUUUUUGAGACAGCGUCUCUGUCGCCCAGGCUGGAGUACAGUGACGUUACCUCAGCUCACUACAACCUCCGUCCGCCUCCUGGGCUCAAGCAGUUCUCCCUGCCUCAGCCUCCCGAGUAGCUGGGACUACAGGUGGCUGCCACCACGUCCAGCUGAUUUUGUUUUUUUUCUUUUUUAAGUAGAGACAGGGUUUCACCAUGCCGACCAGGCUGGUCUCAAACUCCUGACUUCGGAUGAUCCACCCACCUCAGUCUCCCAAAGUGCUGGGAUUACAGGCGUGAGCCACUGCGUCCAGCUCGUUUUUUGGGGUAGGGUCUUGCUCUGUUACCCAGGAUGGGGUGCAGUGGUGUGAUCAGCCUCAAACUCCCAGACUCGCGAGAUCCUCCCGCUUCAGUUGCCCAAGGAGCUGGGACCGCAGGUGCCUGCCACUCGCCUGGCAAGUUUUUUUUUUUUUUUUUCCCGCAGAGAUGG
Molecule: non-coding RNA, 2484 nt
Organism: Callithrix jacchus (white-tufted-ear marmoset)
Lineage: Eukaryota; Metazoa; Chordata; Mammalia; Primates; Cebidae
Source: RefSeq, a predicted model, not a curated record